AGUGAACGCUGGCGGUAGGCCUAACACAUGCAAGUCGAACGGCAGCACAGUAAGAGCUUGCUCUUACGGGUGGCGAGUGGCAGACGGGUGAGGAAUACAUCGGAAUCUACUUUUUCGUGGGGGAUAACGUAGGGAAACUUACGCUAAUACCGCAUACGACCUACGGGUGAAAGCAGGUGAUCUUCGGACCUUGCGCGAUUGAAUGAGCCGAUGUCGGAUUAGCUAGUUGGCGGGGUAAAGGCCCACCAAGGCGACGAUCCGUAGCUGGUCUGAGAGGAUGAUCAGCCACACUGGAACUGAGACACGGUCCAGACUCCUACGGGAGGCAGCAGUGGGGAAUAUUGGACAAUGGGCGCAAGCCUGAUCCAGCCAUACCGCGUGGGUGAAGAAGGCCUUCGGGUUGUAAAGCCCUUUUGUUGGGAAAGAAAAGCAGCAGGUUAAUACCCCGCUGUUCUGACGGUACCCAAAGAAUAAGCACCGGCUAACUUCGUG
This 492-nucleotide ribosomal RNA is filed under the name uncultured bacterium. Its description in RNAcentral is "partial 16S ribosomal RNA". It matches the Rfam family "Bacterial small subunit ribosomal RNA", at positions 29 to 507 of the family's 1533-position model. The record is from RNAcentral.